Molecule: RNA transcript, 10913 nt
Organism: Pungitius pungitius (ninespine stickleback)
Lineage: Eukaryota; Metazoa; Chordata; Actinopteri; Perciformes; Gasterosteidae
Exons: 7
Source: RefSeq, a predicted model, not a curated record
CUCCCAAACUUGAUCAGUGACGACAUGUAAAUAAUGUGGGCUUCGUUGAUCACUGGAAUACGUUUUGGGGAGUGCCUGGUCUGACUAGGAGGGACUGCAUCCAUCAAACUUUGGAUGGAGCUCAACUCAUUUCUAAGAACCUGACCCAGUUUCUUAAUGGACUUAAUCCAUGACCCAGAAUUCAGACCAGGAAGCAGAGUUGCAGUCUUACACACUUCUCUGCGCUUCCUUCCGAGCAGUCACUCAGCGUAAUUAACUGUAUAGAAACUGUUUCUGUCCCACGGGCACCGUUAUUUAAGUUAAAGGUAAACAACCGAGGAGUUAUAUUUAAUAACUUAAUCAAAGUUAAAUGUAAUAAUACAACAGUGCAACAAACUAGGAUAAUUAAAGGGGGACUUUUGAAUAUUAGAUCUCUGUGCUCUAAAGCUGUUUAAGUAAAUUAACUAAUAUAUGACAAUGGCUAUCGGAUGGGGAGUACUUUAGCUUAAACGAAGCGACUCCUCCAAGUCAUGUUAAUACUCAUAUCCCCCGAGGCACAGGCCGAGGGGGUGGAGUGGCAGCUAUUUAUGACUCCUGCCUUUUAAUAAACCUUAAACCUAAACUGGAUUAUAACUCAUUUGAAAGUCUGACUUUCAGUCUUUCACAACCAACCUGGAAAAUAAUCCAGCCGUGUCACGGUUUGGUCUCUCUUCCUGUUUUAGUUUGAAGUUUCAUGUUCCUUGUGGUCUUGGGUUAACUUCACUUCCUGCCUUGUCCUGUGAUUGCCUGAGUGUUUCCACCUGUGUCCAAUCACCUGCACCUCCCUUGUGUAUUUAAGCCCUGUGUGCCUGUUGUCCCUUGUUGCGUCAUUGUCUACGUCAGUUGCCGUUGGUGCACGUUCGUCUGUUUGGUGAGUCUUAUGUUUUGGAAUAAAGAGCACGUCUGGAACUCCUGCGUUUGAGUCCUCCCUUCCGCCUGCACCAGCAUCCCACACCUGACAGAAUGACGCGACCACAGAAGGACUCAGCAGGUUUCGAUUCUGACAGCCCUUUUUGGGGAACUCGCCUGGCUCGUGGGGGUCCACGCAGCGUGCAACACCGGCACCGGCUUGCCAGCGGACUCCUGGAGCGACUUGGGGCCCGACUACAUCGAUUUAAGGAGCCCUUUCUUCCAGUGGAAGACUUAUGUCGUUGUUGGCCCCAGGAGCUACCAGGAGGAAUGCUUCGAGCUCCGGGAUCUCCUCAAUCCGAAGAGAAGGAGCCCGGGGGGGAGGAGACGACGAGCCCCCCCAGUCCCGGCACCUGACUCAACCCCCAGACGCCCGUCCCAGCCCGAGUGGGCUCCCAGACGCCCGUCCCAGCCCGAGUGGGCUCCCAGACGCCCGUCCCAGCCCGACCCGGCCCCCAGAGUCUUGUCCCGGCCCCCAGAGUCUUGUCUCCGCCCGUCCCGGCCCCCAGAGUCUUGUCUCCGCCCGUCCCGGCCCCGGCCCCGUCUCCACCCCCCCGACGCCUGUCUCCGCCCGUCCCGUCUCCAGCCCCCCGACGCCUGUCUCCACCCGUCCCGUCUCCAGCCCUGUCCCCACGACCCCUGAUCGUGCCCCCUCCCUCCCGUCCCUUGAUCCCCUCCCCCCCACCCCUGGGGGCCGUCUGGGAGCCGGCCCUUGAGGGGGGGGUGGGGUCAAGGGUUGGGCCGCCGCCGCUGCAGAACCCGGCGCCCCCCGCCACAACGACGCCGCUGCAGAACCCGGCGCCCCCCGCCACAACGACGCCGGAGCCGCACCGCCCGGCGCUCCCCGAGACCCUGAGGCCCGGCCGCCGCCCCGCUAGACCCCCCGAGACCCUGAGGUCCCGGCAGCCGUUCCGGCCGGCCCCCGAAGGACCCGACACAUGGCCGCCAUCACUCGGAGUUCCCCGCGCGGUCCAGGAUCGUCGGGUCCCCACCCUCCCUCCCCUUGUCUGAUUUUCUCCGGUUCUGCUCCCCUUUAGGACCGUCUGGAAUUCGGUCCUUGAGGGGGGGGGGGUUCUGUCACGGCUUGGUCUCUCUUCCUGUUUUAGUUUGAAGUUUCAUGUUCCUUGUGUUCCUGGGUAACUUCACUUCCUGCCUUGUCCUGUGAUAGCCUGAUUGAUUCCACCUGUGUCCAAUCACCUGCACCUCCCUAGUGUAUUUAAGCCCUGUGUGCCUGUUGUCCCUUGUCGCGUCAUUGUCUAACGUCACUCGUUGUUGGAGCACGUCCAGGUUUUGUUUUUGGAAUAAAGAGCACUUUGUCAUCGGAAACCCUGCGUGUGAGUCCUCCCUGCAUCCUGCUCCGGCUGCGAUCCCUGACAGAAUGAUGCGACCAAGAAAGGACUCAGCAGGGUUUUACCCAAAUGAAAAAUAUUUGGGAACUCGCCUUGCGUUUGGGGGACCACGAAGCAUGCAGCAGGCUGCCCGGCGAAACACCAACACCGGCAUGCCAGCGGACUCCUGGAGCGACCUGGGGCCUGACUACCUCGACUUGAGAAGCCCAUUUUUUCAAUGGAAAACGAAUGUUGUUGUUGGCCCCAGGAGCUACCAGGAGAAAUUCUUCAGGCUCCGGGACCUCCUCAAUCCGAGGAGAAGGAGCCGACGAACCCCCCCAGUCCCGGCUCCCGACUCGGCCCCCAGACGCCCGUUCCAGCCUGAGCGGGCCCCAAGACGCCCGUUCCAGCCUGAGCGGCCCCCAAGACGUCCGUCCCAGCCCAGGUGGGCCCCCCGACGCCCGUCUUCGCCCGUUCCGGCCCCCAGAGUCUCGUCUCCGCCCGUUCCGGCCCCCAGACUCCAGUCUCCGCCCGUUCCGGCCCCCAGACUCCAGUCUCUGCCCGUUCCGGCCCCCAGACUCCAGUCUCCGCCCGUUCCGGCCCCCAGACGCCCGUCAGCGCCCGUUCCGGCCCCCAGACGCCCGUCUGCGCCCGUUCCUGCGCUGAGACGCCCGUCAGCCCUGCGUGAUAGAAAUGCUCUGGAGAGACAUUUCUAACGGCGUGCUUGACAGAGAAACCAGUCCCACAGCACACACAGAGAGUCUCCAUGAACACAAGGCACAGCAGGACACAAUACAGCGACACACCCGCUGAGAAGCCAACUCUGGUGAUAGGUAGCUCCAUUCUGAGGAACGUGAAGUUAGCGAAACCAGGGGCCAUAGUCACUUUUACACCCGGGGCCAGAGUGGGCGACAUCGAGUCUUAUCUUAAACUGCUGGCUAAGGAUAAAAGGUAAAUACAGUAAGAUUGUAAUUCAUGUCGGCGGUAAUGACUCCCGGUUACGCCACUCAGAAGUCACAAAAGUUAACGUUGAAUCGGUGUGUACAUACGCUAAAACAAUGUCAGACACCGUAGUUUUCUCUGGCCUCCUCCCAAACUUGAUUUGUGACGACAUGUAUAGCCGCAUGUCGUCAUUCCGCCGCUGGUUGUCGAGGUGGUGCCCAGUAAAUAAUGUGGGCUUCGUUGAUCACUGGAAUACGUUUUGGGGAGUGCCUGGUCUGACUAGGAGGGACGGCAUCCAUCCAACUUUGGAUGGAGCUCAACUCAUUUCUAAGAACCUGACCCAGUUUCUUAAUGGACUUAAUCCAUGACCCAGAAUUCAGACCAGGAAGCAGAGUUGCAGUCUUACACACUUCUCUGCGCUUCCUUCCGAGCAGUCACUCAGCGUAAUUAACUGUAUAGAAACUGUUUCUGUCCCACGGGCACCGUUAUUUAAGUUAAAGGUAAACAACCGAGGAGUUAUAUUUAAUAACUUAAUCAAAGUUAAAUGUAAUAAUACAACAGUGCAACAAACUAGGAUAAUUAAAGGGGGACUUUUGAAUAUUAGAUCUCUGUGCUCUAAAGCUGUUUAAGUAAAUUAACUAAUAUAUGACAAUGGCUAUCGGAUGGGGAGUACUUUAGCUUAAACGAAGCGACUCCUCCAAGUCAUGUUAAUACUCAUAUCCCCCGAGGCACAGGCCGAGGGGGUGGAGUGGCAGCUAUUUAUGACUCCUGCCUUUUAAUAAACCUUAAACCUAAACUGGAUUAUAACUCAUUUGAAAGUCUGACUUUCAGUCUUUCACAACCAACCUGGAAAAUAAUCCAGCCGUGUCACGGUUUGGUCUCUCUUCCUGUUUUAGUUUGAAGUUUCAUGUUCCUUGUGGUCUUGGGUUAACUUCACUUCCUGCCUUGUCCUGUGAUUGCCUGAGUGUUUCCACCUGUGUCCAAUCACCUGCACCUCCCUUGUGUAUUUAAGCCCUGUGUGCCUGUUGUCCCUUGUUGCGUCAUUGUCUACGUCAGUUGCCGUUGGUGCACGUUCGUCUGUUUGGUGAGUCUUAUGUUUUGGAAUAAAGAGCACGUCUGGAACUCCUGCGUUUGAGUCCUCCCUUCCGCCUGCACCAGCAUCCCACACCUGACAGAAUGACGCGACCACAGAAGGACUCAGCAGGUUUCGAUUCUGACAGCCCUUUUUGGGGAACUCGCCUGGCUCGUGGGGGUCCACGCAGCGUGCAACACCGGCACCGGCUUGCCAGCGGACUCCUGGAGCGACUUGGGGCCCGACUACAUCGAUUUAAGGAGCCCUUUCUUCCAGUGGAAGACUUAUGUCGUUGUUGGCCCCAGGAGCUACCAGGAGGAAUGCUUCGAGCUCCGGGAUCUCCUCAAUCCGAAGAGAAGGAGCCCGGGGGGGAGGAGACGACGAGCCCCCCCAGUCCCGGCACCUGACUCAACCCCCAGACGCCCGUCCCAGCCCGAGUGGGCUCCCAGACGCCCGUCCCAGCCCGAGUGGGCUCCCAGACGCCCGUCCCAGCCCGACCCGGCCCCCAGAGUCUUGUCCCGGCCCCCAGAGUCUUGUCUCCGCCCGUCCCGGCCCCCAGAGUCUUGUCUCCGCCCGUCCCGGCCCCGGCCCCGUCUCCACCCCCCCGACGCCUGUCUCCGCCCGUCCCGUCUCCAGCCCCCCGACGCCUGUCUCCACCCGUCCCGUCUCCAGCCCUGUCCCCACGACCCCUGAUCGUGCCCCCUCCCUCCCGUCCCUUGAUCCCCUCCCCCCCACCCCUGGGGGCCGUCUGGGAGCCGGCCCUUGAGGGGGGGGUGGGGUCAAGGGUUGGGCCGCCGCCGCUGCAGAACCCGGCGCCCCCCGCCACAACGACGCCGCUGCAGAACCCGGCGCCCCCCGCCACAACGACGCCGGAGCCGCACCGCCCGGCGCUCCCCGAGACCCUGAGGCCCGGCCGCCGCCCCGCUAGACCCCCCGAGACCCUGAGGUCCCGGCAGCCGUUCCGGCCGGCCCCCGAAGGACCCGACACAUGGCCGCCAUCACUCGGAGUUCCCCGCGCGGUCCAGGAUCGUCGGGUCCCCACCCUCCCUCCCCUUGUCUGAUUUUCUCCGGUUCUGCUCCCCUUUAGGACCGUCUGGAAUUCGGUCCUUGAGGGGGGGGGGGUUCUGUCACGGCUUGGUCUCUCUUCCUGUUUUAGUUUGAAGUUUCAUGUUCCUUGUGUUCCUGGGUAACUUCACUUCCUGCCUUGUCCUGUGAUAGCCUGAUUGAUUCCACCUGUGUCCAAUCACCUGCACCUCCCUAGUGUAUUUAAGCCCUGUGUGCCUGUUGUCCCUUGUCGCGUCAUUGUCUAACGUCACUCGUUGUUGGAGCACGUCCAGGUUUUGUUUUUGGAAUAAAGAGCACUUUGUCAUCGGAAACCCUGCGUGUGAGUCCUCCCUGCAUCCUGCUCCGGCUGCGAUCCCUGACAGAAUGAUGCGACCAAGAAAGGACUCAGCAGGGUUUUACCCAAAUGAAAAAUAUUUGGGAACUCGCCUUGCGUUUGGGGGACCACGAAGCAUGCAGCAGGCUGCCCGGCGAAACACCAACACCGGCAUGCCAGCGGACUCCUGGAGCGACCUGGGGCCUGACUACCUCGACUUGAGAAGCCCAUUUUUUCAAUGGAAAACGAAUGUUGUUGUUGGCCCCAGGAGCUACCAGGAGAAAUUCUUCAGGCUCCGGGACCUCCUCAAUCCGAGGAGAAGGAGCCGACGAACCCCCCCAGUCCCGGCUCCCGACUCGGCCCCCAGACGCCCGUUCCAGCCUGAGCGGGCCCCAAGACGCCCGUUCCAGCCUGAGCGGCCCCCAAGACGUCCGUCCCAGCCCAGGUGGGCCCCCCGACGCCCGUCUUCGCCCGUUCCGGCCCCCAGAGUCUCGUCUCCGCCCGUUCCGGCCCCCAGACUCCAGUCUCCGCCCGUUCCGGCCCCCAGACUCCAGUCUCUGCCCGUUCCGGCCCCCAGACUCCAGUCUCCGCCCGUUCCGGCCCCCAGACGCCCGUCAGCGCCCGUUCCGGCCCCCAGACGCCCGUCUGCGCCCGUUCCUGCGCUGAGACGCCCGUCAGCCCUGCGUGAUAGAAAUGCUCUGGAGAGACAUUUCUAACGGCGUGCUUGACAGAGAAACCAGUCCCACAGCACACACAGAGAGUCUCCAUGAACACAAGGCACAGCAGGACACAAUACAGCGACACACCCGCUGAGAAGCCAACUCUGGUGAUAGGUAGCUCCAUUCUGAGGAACGUGAAGUUAGCGAAACCAGGGGCCAUAGUCACUUUUACACCCGGGGCCAGAGUGGGCGACAUCGAGUCUUAUCUUAAACUGCUGGCUAAGGAUAAAAGGUAAAUACAGUAAGAUUGUAAUUCAUGUCGGCGGUAAUGACUCCCGGUUACGCCACUCAGAAGUCACAAAAGUUAACGUUGAAUCGGUGUGUACAUACGCUAAAACAAUGUCAGACACCGUAGUUUUCUCUGGCCUCCUCCCAAACUUGAUUUGUGACGACAUGUAUAGCCGCAUGUCGUCAUUCCGCCGCUGGUUGUCGAGGUGGUGCCCAGUAAAUAAUGUGGGCUUCGUUGAUCACUGGAAUACGUUUUGGGGAGUGCCUGGUCUGACUAGGAGGGACGGCAUCCAUCCAACUUUGGAUGGAGCUCAACUCAUUUCUAAGAACCUGACCCAGUUUCUUAAUGGACUUAAUCCAUGACCCAGAAUUCAGACCAGGAAGCAGAGUUGCAGUCUUACACACUUCUCUGCGCUUCCUUCCGAGCAGUCACUCAGCGUAAUUAACUGUAUAGAAACUGUUUCUGUCCCACGGGCACCGUUAUUUAAGUUAAAGGUAAACAACCGAGGAGUUAUAUUUAAUAACUUAAUCAAAGUUAAAUGUAAUAAUACAACAGUGCAACAAACUAGGAUAAUUAAAGGGGGACUUUUGAAUAUUAGAUCUCUGUGCUCUAAAGCUGUUUAAGUAAAUUAACUAAUAUAUGACAAUGGCUAUCGGAUGGGGAGUACUUUAGCUUAAACGAAGCGACUCCUCCAAGUCAUGUUAAUACUCAUAUCCCCCGAGGCACAGGCCGAGGGGGUGGAGUGGCAGCUAUUUAUGACUCCUGCCUUUUAAUAAACCUUAAACCUAAACUGGAUUAUAACUCAUUUGAAAGUCUGACUUUCAGUCUUUCACAACCAACCUGGAAAAUAAUCCAGCCGUGUCACGGUUUGGUCUCUCUUCCUGUUUUAGUUUGAAGUUUCAUGUUCCUUGUGGUCUUGGGUUAACUUCACUUCCUGCCUUGUCCUGUGAUUGCCUGAGUGUUUCCACCUGUGUCCAAUCACCUGCACCUCCCUUGUGUAUUUAAGCCCUGUGUGCCUGUUGUCCCUUGUUGCGUCAUUGUCUACGUCAGUUGCCGUUGGUGCACGUUCGUCUGUUUGGUGAGUCUUAUGUUUUGGAAUAAAGAGCACGUCUGGAACUCCUGCGUUUGAGUCCUCCCUUCCGCCUGCACCAGCAUCCCACACCUGACAGAAUGACGCGACCACAGAAGGACUCAGCAGGUUUCGAUUCUGACAGCCCUUUUUGGGGAACUCGCCUGGCUCGUGGGGGUCCACGCAGCGUGCAACACCGGCACCGGCUUGCCAGCGGACUCCUGGAGCGACUUGGGGCCCGACUACAUCGAUUUAAGGAGCCCUUUCUUCCAGUGGAAGACUUAUGUCGUUGUUGGCCCCAGGAGCUACCAGGAGGAAUGCUUCGAGCUCCGGGAUCUCCUCAAUCCGAAGAGAAGGAGCCCGGGGGGGAGGAGACGACGAGCCCCCCCAGUCCCGGCACCUGACUCAACCCCCAGACGCCCGUCCCAGCCCGAGUGGGCUCCCAGACGCCCGUCCCAGCCCGAGUGGGCUCCCAGACGCCCGUCCCAGCCCGACCCGGCCCCCAGAGUCUUGUCCCGGCCCCCAGAGUCUUGUCUCCGCCCGUCCCGGCCCCCAGAGUCUUGUCUCCGCCCGUCCCGGCCCCGGCCCCGUCUCCACCCCCCCGACGCCUGUCUCCGCCCGUCCCGUCUCCAGCCCCCCGACGCCUGUCUCCACCCGUCCCGUCUCCAGCCCUGUCCCCACGACCCCUGAUCGUGCCCCCUCCCUCCCGUCCCUUGAUCCCCUCCCCCCCACCCCUGGGGGCCGUCUGGGAGCCGGCCCUUGAGGGGGGGGUGGGGUCAAGGGUUGGGCCGCCGCCGCUGCAGAACCCGGCGCCCCCCGCCACAACGACGCCGCUGCAGAACCCGGCGCCCCCCGCCACAACGACGCCGGAGCCGCACCGCCCGGCGCUCCCCGAGACCCUGAGGCCCGGCCGCCGCCCCGCUAGACCCCCCGAGACCCUGAGGUCCCGGCAGCCGUUCCGGCCGGCCCCCGAAGGACCCGACACAUGGCCGCCAUCACUCGGAGUUCCCCGCGCGGUCCAGGAUCGUCGGGUCCCCACCCUCCCUCCCCUUGUCUGAUUUUCUCCGGUUCUGCUCCCCUUUAGGACCGUCUGGAAUUCGGUCCUUGAGGGGGGGGGGGUUCUGUCACGGCUUGGUCUCUCUUCCUGUUUUAGUUUGAAGUUUCAUGUUCCUUGUGUUCCUGGGUAACUUCACUUCCUGCCUUGUCCUGUGAUAGCCUGAUUGAUUCCACCUGUGUCCAAUCACCUGCACCUCCCUAGUGUAUUUAAGCCCUGUGUGCCUGUUGUCCCUUGUCGCGUCAUUGUCUAACGUCACUCGUUGUUGGAGCACGUCCAGGUUUUGUUUUUGGAAUAAAGAGCACUUUGUCAUCGGAAACCCUGCGUGUGAGUCCUCCCUGCAUCCUGCUCCGGCUGCGAUCCCUGACAGAAUGAUGCGACCAAGAAAGGACUCAGCAGGGUUUUACCCAAAUGAAAAAUAUUUGGGAACUCGCCUUGCGUUUGGGGGACCACGAAGCAUGCAGCAGGCUGCCCGGCGAAACACCAACACCGGCAUGCCAGCGGACUCCUGGAGCGACCUGGGGCCUGACUACCUCGACUUGAGAAGCCCAUUUUUUCAAUGGAAAACGAAUGUUGUUGUUGGCCCCAGGAGCUACCAGGAGAAAUUCUUCAGGCUCCGGGACCUCCUCAAUCCGAGGAGAAGGAGCCGACGAACCCCCCCAGUCCCGGCUCCCGACUCGGCCCCCAGACGCCCGUUCCAGCCUGAGCGGGCCCCAAGACGCCCGUUCCAGCCUGAGCGGCCCCCAAGACGUCCGUCCCAGCCCAGGUGGGCCCCCCGACGCCCGUCUUCGCCCGUUCCGGCCCCCAGAGUCUCGUCUCCGCCCGUUCCGGCCCCCAGACUCCAGUCUCCGCCCGUUCCGGCCCCCAGACUCCAGUCUCUGCCCGUUCCGGCCCCCAGACUCCAGUCUCCGCCCGUUCCGGCCCCCAGACGCCCGUCAGCGCCCGUUCCGGCCCCCAGACGCCCGUCUGCGCCCGUUCCUGCGCUGAGACGCCCGUCAGCCCUGCGUGAUAGAAAUGCUCUGGAGAGACAUUUCUAACGGCGUGCUUGACAGAGAAACCAGUCCCACAGCACACACAGAGAGUCUCCAUGAACACAAGGCACAGCAGGACACAAUACAGCGACACACCCGCUGAGAAGCCAACUCUGGUGAUAGGUAGCUCCAUUCUGAGGAACGUGAAGUUAGCGAAACCAGGGGCCAUAGUCACUUUUACACCCGGGGCCAGAGUGGGCGACAUCGAGUCUUAUCUUAAACUGCUGGCUAAGGAUAAAAGGUAAAUACAGUAAGAUUGUAAUUCAUGUCGGCGGUAAUGACUCCCGGUUACGCCACUCAGAAGUCACAAAAGUUAACGUUGAAUCGGUGUGUACAUACGCUAAAACAAUGUCAGACACCGUAGUUUUCUCUGGCCUCCUCCCAAACUUGAUUAGUGACGACAUGUAUAGCCGCAUGUCGUCAUUCCGCCGCUGGUUGUCGAGGUGGUGCCCAGUAAAUAAUGUGGGCUUCGUUGAUCACUGGAAUACGUUUUGGGGAGUGCCUGGUCUGACUAGGAGGGACGGCAUCCAUCCAACUUUGGAUGGAGCUCAACUCAUUUCUAAGAACCUGACCCAGUUUCUUAAUGGACUUAAUCCAUGACCCAGAAUUCAGACCAGGAAGCAGAGUUGCAGUCUUACACACUUCUCUGCGCUUCCUUCCGAGCAGUCACUCAGCGUAAUUAACUCUAUAGAAACUGUUUCUGCCCCACAGACACCGUUAUUUAAGUUAAAGGUAAACAACCGAGGAGUUAUAUUUAAUAACUUAAUCAAAGUUAAAUGUAACAAUACAACAGUGCAACAAACUAGGAGAAUUAAAGGGGGACUUUUGAAUAUUAGAUCUCUGUGCUCUAAAGCUGUUUUAGUAAAUGAACUAAUAUCUGACAACCAUGUUGAUAUUUUCUGUCUUACUGAAACAUGGCUAUCGGAUGGGGAGUACUUUAGCUUAAAUGAAGCGACUCCUCCAAGUCAUUUUAAUACUCAUAUCCCCCGAGGCACAGGCCGAGGGCCUUGUUUUGGGCCUCGUUUUGCACAUGGAUCUGUUGUCUGUUCUGUGUAUGUGAGAGAUAGCCACGCCCCCUGAUUUGCAUAUAAGAAUGUGAAAUGAAAUACAGUGCCAUUAUGAAAUACAGUGGCAUUAUGAAAUAAAGUGCCAUUAUGAAAUAAA